UACGUAGGGGGCGAGUGUUGUCCGGAAUCAUUGGGCGUAAAGGGAGUGUAGGCGGUUUUGUAAGUCAGAUGUUAAAUCCAUUGGCUCAACCAAUGUAAGCAUUUGAAACUACAGGGCUUGAGUACAGGAGAGGAGAGUGGAAUUCCUAGUGGAGCGGUGAAAUGCGUAGAUAUUAGGAGGAACACCAGUGGCGAAGGCGACUCUCUGGACUGUUACUGACGCUGAGGCUCGAAAGCGUGGGGAGCAAACAGG
Molecule: ribosomal RNA, 252 nt
Filed under: uncultured bacterium
Lineage: Bacteria
Description: partial 16S ribosomal RNA
Rfam family: Bacterial small subunit ribosomal RNA
Source: RNAcentral